CAUGCAAGUCGAACGGUGAAGCCAAGCUUGCUUGGUGGAUCAGUGGCGAACGGGUGAGUAACACGUGAGCAACCUGCCCUGGACUCUGGGAUAAGCGCUGGAAACGGCGUCUAAUACUGGAUAUGAGCUCCUUCCGCAUGGUGGGGGUUGGAAAGAUUUUUCGGUCUGGGAUGGGCUCGCGGCCUAUCAGCUUGUUGGUGAGGUAAUGGCUCACCAAGGCGUCGACGGGUAGCCGGCCUGAGAGGGUGACCGGCCACACUGGGACUGAGACACGGCCCAGACUCCUACGGGAGGCAGCAGUGGGGAAUAUUGCACAAUGGGCGGAAGCCUGAUGCAGCAACGCCGCGUGAGGGAUGACGGCCUUCGGGUUGUAAACCUCUUUUAGCAGGGAAGAAGCGAAAGUGACGGUACCUGCAGAAAAAGCGCCGGCUAACUACGUGCCAGCAGCCGCGGUAAUACGUAGGGCGCAAGCGUUAUCCGGAAUUAUUGGGCGUAAAGAGCUCGUAGGCGGUUUGUCGCGUCUGCUGUGAAAUCCCGAGGCUCAACCUCGGGCCUGCAGUGGGUACGGGCAGACUAGAGUGCGGUAGGGGAGAUUGGAAUUCCUGGUGUAGCGGUGGAAUGCGCAGAUAUCAGGAGGAACACCGAUGGCGAAGGCAGAUCUCUGGGCCGUAACUGACGCUGAGGAGCGAAAGGGUGGGGAGCAAACAGGCUUAGAUACCCUGGUAGUCCACCCCGUAAACGUUGGGAACUAGUUGUGGGGACCAUUCCACGGUUUCCGUGACGCAGCUAACGCAUUAAGUUCCCCGCCUGGGGAGUACGGCCGCAAGGCUAAAACUCAAAGGAAUUGACGGGGACCCGCACAAGCGGCGGGAGCAUGCGGAUUAAUUUCGAUGCANCGCGAAGANCCUUACCAAAGGCUUGACAUAUACGAGAACGGCCCAGAAAUGGUCAACUCUUUGGACACUCGUAAAC
Molecule: ribosomal RNA, 972 nt
Filed under: Microbacterium testaceum
Lineage: Bacteria; Bacillati; Actinomycetota; Actinomycetes; Micrococcales; Microbacteriaceae
Description: bacterial SSU rRNA
Rfam family: Bacterial small subunit ribosomal RNA
Source: RNAcentral